GAUGAACGCUAGCUACAGGCUUAACACAUGCAAGUCGAGGGGCAGCAUGAAGGAAGCUUGCUUCCUUUGAUGGCGACCGGCGCACGGGUGAGUAACGCGUAUCCAACCUUCCCCCUAGCAGGGCAUAGCCCGUAGAAAUGCGGAUUAACACCCUAUGUUGUGUUUUGAGGACAUCUGACGAACACUAAAGGUUUACCGCUAGGGGAUGGGGAUGCGUCCGAUUAGCUUGACGGCGGGGUAACGGCCCACCGUGGCCACGAUCGGUAGGGGUUCUGAGAGGAAGGUCCCCCACACUGGAACUGAGACACGGUCCAGACUCCUACGGGAGGCAGCAGUGAGGAAUAUUGGUCAAUGGGCGGGAGCCUGAACCAGCCAAGUAGCGUGGAGGAUGACGGCCCUACGGGUUGUAAACUCCUUUUAUGCGGGGAUAAAGUGCAGCACGUGUGCUGUUUUGCAGGUACCGCAUGAAUAAGGACCGGCUAAUUCCGUGCCAGCCGCCGCCGUAAUAC
RNAcentral lists this ribosomal RNA (509 nucleotides) under uncultured bacterium. RNAcentral describes it as "bacterial SSU rRNA". It matches the Rfam family "Bacterial small subunit ribosomal RNA", at positions 28 to 526 of the family's 1533-position model. The record is from RNAcentral.